UCAGUGUCAUAACAGUAAAGAAAAAUACAUUUGUAUUUAAAGAGGCUGGUUGAAGUGUCCCAUGAACAGAAUAGCUCCGGUUCCUUUGUGCUGGAUAAGGAAGAGGAAAGGUCGAUCCAAAGUGAGCUCCUCUACCGCCAUUCGAGAGAACAUCACAGCAGCUAAAAGCACAAGAAAAGCUUCACAGUCUGGAAAACCUUGGACACGCAUAGCCUCUCAUCGCCUGAAGAGUUCAAGGAAACAAGACAAGGUUUUUCACGGGACACAUUUAUUUUUCUAUUAGAAAUGGCAACAGCGGAGGAUGAAUGUCCCAUAACAAGAAGAUACAGAAAAAGAAGAAGCUUAUCGACUACAAAGGCGGAUGCGCGUGCAUUUUCAGGACUUAUGCAGAUCCCAAAUACAGAUCAGCAUGUACCAGAAGGUUGAAGCCCAUGGCGGCCGUCAUGGCCUUGCGGGUGUUUCUGGCGGCACCCAGCUGAGCCAUGGCCAGCACGGAGGAGACGCCGUAGGGGGACAAGACCACAUUGCUGUCCCCGGUGGCUCUUGCCAAGUGGGAGAAGACCUUCAGCCCAAAGUCGGUGUGCUUGUCUGACAGCGAUGCUUGUCCGCCUCUGCCAGUGCUCAGUAGGACCACGAGGAGAACGUACGUGCAAAACAUCCUGUGUGGAAAAAGUAUUAAUUGUACAUUGUUGUACUCUUAAAUUGUACCGUGAGUCAAAUCAGUGAUAUAAAAAAAUGAUAAUAAUCGAAAAAUACGUUUAAAAAUAUAUAAAAAUGGCAAAUAGUCUAGAUUUUUGCAAAAAAGUGUAGUAAAUAUGUUAUUUUAAAUGUACUAAAACAUACUUGUACACAACUACAGUUAACUUGGCACUAAUAACAAAUGUAAACCUUAAACAAUGCUUCAAAUCUUCCAAAAUAAGUUUAAGAACAAUAUUAUUCUUAAUAGUGUUAUGAUAAUAAAUGAAUAAAAAUAAACAAAACGUUGUUCGAGAAAUAAUUGUAUUUUUAAUAUAUUCAAACAUACUAAAUUAUUGAUGAAUUUCUUUCUUUCUUUCUUUCUUUUAGUUUAUUUCGAACAUGAACACAUUUACAUCAUAAUACAUCACACAAUUUCAUAUCAUUUCAUUUACAUCAUGCCCGAAAAGGAGUAGGAAGAAGCAAAGAUUAUUUAAUCCUACCCCUUUCCCACUUCAAAGCAUUUACAAUUAUAUAAAAUCAUUUACUGACCUUUUUAUAUAAUAAAAUAACAUCUAUGAAUUAGUAUAAACAACAGUUUGUAAUAUGUAAUUAAUUAAUUCAGUCAUUAUUAACAUACUGAGAUGAAGAAUAUUUUCAAUAAGGUUGGAAGUUUUUCUCAUAAUUCUUCUUCUUUGUACUUUGUAAGCACUAUUAAUUUAAACAACCUCUUAAACUGGAUCAUGUCAGUACAAUUUUUAACUUCUUUACUUAAUCCAUUCCAUAAUUUAAUUCCACAUACUGUUAUGCCAAAAGUUUUAAGUGUUGUACGUGCAUAUAAAUGUUUUAAAUUAUUUUUUCCUCUAAGGUUAUAUUUCUCCUCUUUAGUUGAGAAGAAAUGUUGUACAUUCUUUGGUAGCAGGUUAUAGAUUGCUUUGUACAUCAUUUUAGCUGUUUGCAAUUUUACCAAAUCACCAAACUUUAAUAUUUUAGACUUAAUAAAUAAAGGGUUUGUAUGUUCUCUAUAUCCAACAUUAUGUAUUAUUCUAACUGAUCUUUUUUGUAACAUGGUUAACGAAUGUAGCGCACAUUUGUAGUUAUUUCCCCAUAUUUCUGCACAAUAACUCAGAUAUGGUAACACUAGUGAGCAGUAGAGAAUAUGAAGUGAUUUUUGGCCCAGGACGUGUUUUGUUUUAUUCAUUAUUGAAAUGUUUUUUGCUACCUUAUGUUGUAUGUUUUGUAUAUGAGAUUUCCAGUUCAUUUUAUCAUCUAUUAAUACUCCCAAAAAUCUGGUUUCUUUUACCCUUUCGAUGUCUACUCCGUCUAUUUGUAUUUGCGUAUGAUGCUCUUUCCUACUAUUACCAAAUAGCAUUAUUUUAGUUUUACUGAAAUUCAAAGAUAGUCUGUUUUUG
Long non-coding RNA from Entelurus aequoreus (snake pipefish), 2087 nucleotides. RefSeq lists it as uncharacterized. NCBI's taxonomy places the organism in Eukaryota, Metazoa, Chordata, Actinopteri, Syngnathiformes, Syngnathidae. The transcript has 4 exons. The record is from RefSeq and is a predicted model, not a curated record.